Molecule: long non-coding RNA, 410 nt
Organism: Oreochromis aureus
Lineage: Eukaryota; Metazoa; Chordata; Actinopteri; Cichliformes; Cichlidae
Exons: 3
Source: RefSeq, a predicted model, not a curated record
AUCCACCCUGUUUCAUUCUGUGUGUUUCCCUGCCGUCUUCCAUCAUUCCGUCUCCUGCUAUUCGUGUUCAGCCAAGGUUUGGAAGAAGACUUAAACUGUCACCCUAAGAUGAGAGGAAAUUGGCUAGGAUACUCAGGAUAAACCCAGGAACCACCAAGGCUCAAACAGCUGGAAAACUAGUAUAACAGUCUACUCUGAGCCAUUGCAGCUUUCCUCCCCCAGAGGUUUCCCCCCUAUCAGAAGUGGCCUAGCUAUGAUGGAUUGGCAUCCUGUGAGUGUCAAACUGCUUUAUGGCUCUUUAAUGAGGCGAUCAGGCACAGGGAGCCUCAACUGCUACUGCCUCUAUUGGUGCUUAAAUAGGAAAUCAAAACAGGUGAAGUUUCAUUAUAGCUGCUGCUGUUAGCACCUGC